UACGAAGGGGGCUAGCGUUGCUCGGAAUCACUGGGCGUAAAGCGCACGUAGGCGGAUCUUUAAGUCAGGGGUGAAAUCCUGGAGCUCAACUCCAGAACUGCCUUUGAUACUGGGGAUCUCGAGUCCGGGAGAGGUGAGUGGAACUGCGAGUGUAGAGGUGAAAUUCGUAGAUAUUCGCAAGAACACCAGUGGCGAAGGCGGCUCACUGGCCCGGUACUGACGCUGAGGCGCGAAAGCGUGGGUAGCAAACAGG
This 253-nucleotide ribosomal RNA is filed under the name uncultured bacterium. RNAcentral's name for it is "partial 16S ribosomal RNA". It matches the Rfam family "Bacterial small subunit ribosomal RNA", at positions 524 to 776 of the family's 1533-position model. The record is from RNAcentral.